Molecule: long non-coding RNA, 700 nt
Filed under: Homo sapiens (human)
Lineage: Eukaryota; Metazoa; Chordata; Mammalia; Primates; Hominidae
Description: non-protein coding lnc-SEC24C-5:5
Source: RNAcentral
AUAUCUCGCGAUAGCACUGUUUAAAAUGGCGGCUUCAAGGCGUUUCACGGGUGUCCCGGACAGGCGUGGAGGUGGGGCGCAGGCGAGGAUGAAGCUUGAGUUGGCCAGGAGUCGGAAAACGAUUGCAGGCGGGACCGCGUCCGUCGGGGCUGAGGAAACUUAGCGUGGCAGACCCUAAACUGGGAUAACUUUAGGGAUAUGGCCUUCUUUUCCCAGUUGCCUCAAACUUAGAGCAGCGUCGUCUUUAGCCGAAGAUUCAUUUUCCCAGCAUUUUCCUUCUCCAGGCGGAGUAGUUGGAGACAGAGGGCAAGCCAGAAACUGACCUUCCCAUCUCCUCAUUCCCUUCCAUCAAGAACUUUUCAUCGUUCUUUCCCCACCCUGGUUUGUAAAUGGUAUUUGGCUUCAUAAAAACGUUUGUCCACAGGUGCCCUGCUCCAUCAGUUCGCUCCAGCAAUAUAGGAAGUUACCAAAAAAAAAAUUUUUUUUUAUUGACCUUGGAUGCAGAAAGGAACCGCGUUGGUGUGUGAUUUGAAUUUUGGACUUCUUGUUUCCUGCCUUGUGGCCACGUCCCCCUUACUUGGUGACUCUCAGCACUUAGUUGUGGGGCUUUUUCUCUCUGCUCUCAGACAACUAUAAAAGCAGACUAAUUGAACAGCAUCUAGAACAGAAGGUGGAUGUAAAGAACAUUGGUCGGCCGGGC